CACGGCUGGAGGAACAAAGAUACACAGAGGGGAAAAGAGACACAUGGAAGGACAAAGACAUACAUCACUGUUUUAUUCAGGGGCACUUAUGCCCCGAGUAAGGGACCUAGCAACUUGGUCUUCUAUCUGUUAACAAAUAGAUUGUAUUAUUUUAACUCAAUCUUUAUGAAAAAUAUCCCUUAUUUAAAAAGAAAUGUUUACCCUAAUCUAAUGUCCACUCCUCAUUGAGUGUUGUAUCUCAUGUAUGUGUAUAUGUCUUUACCACCCACCUAUCAUAUGUGUGAGCGCCCAUUCCUUGCGGCCUGCCUGGGAGUAUGCCUUGCUUCUCCCAUCUGCAGGUCAAUCCACUUUGUGCAAUAUGCAUGUGCUCUAUGUAUCACCAAACCUGUCCAAUAAAAUUCUCGCAGGGGGACUCAGAAUAGGAGUAUACCUCCCUUGAGAAGCUCAAUAAUCAUACUUUUUGUUAAAGUAAGUAUUUUAAAAAUGAAUUUUUUUU
Molecule: non-coding RNA, 496 nt
Organism: Pelobates cultripes (western spadefoot toad)
Lineage: Eukaryota; Metazoa; Chordata; Amphibia; Anura; Pelobatidae
Source: the annotation of a GenBank genome assembly